AACUUUGUUGCUUCUCAAUAUAAUUGACCUUGGGCACCAAGAAUAUACAUGUUAUAUAAAGGAUGUUUCAUCAAAUUCAAAAACACAACAAGAAAAAUCACCCCCUUUGUCGACUUGAGAGCUCUUCAUUAUCCACAAUUCUUUGUCAAAUUCUUUUGUGAUCGAACUCAAGGGUUGGAAGUGAGUGGUGCUUACUGUCCGAGCAAGAUCUUGUCAUCUGCCUAAGUUGUUGUUUGUUUGGAAGCAAACAAAAUGAGUUAUAUUAAGAAGAAAAAUAGUGAUUUAUCUUCAUCUUUAAAGUCAUUUCUUUUGUGCUUCUAUGUUAAAGAUGAUGAUGAUGAUACUAGCAAUGUUGUGAAAGAUUCAAUUUCUAGUGUUUCAUCUGGAGUUGAAGCAACUAUGAUAUCUGCAGCCAAACAUUUCUCAUCAACUCACAAAGUCCGGUUGAUUUAGAGCAGAUUUUGUGAGUUUGACUGAACCUAUGUUGUGCGGAAUCUCCAAAAAUGUUGUCAAAUCUGUUUUGGAUUCUUCAAAAAUAUACUACUUCGGAGGAUCUGAUACUCACCAAUGACAUUUUGGAGAGUUAAAUUUGAGCCAGUGGCAGAACAAGGAUUUUCAUUGAGGGGGUUCAGAAAUAAAUAUACGAACUAGUCGAAAGAGAUUCUAACAUCUACUAUAUAUACAUAAAAUAUAUUUUUAACCAUAUAAAAAUAAUAUAAUUUCCAUCGAAGGGGGUUCAUCCAAUGCCUAACUACGUAUACAUAAGCAAAAACGUGCAGUUCACAAAGUUGUCAAACCUAUUUCUGAAUCCAUUGAUUUUAAAUUUUGAAUUCACCUAUAGUAUAUGGCUUUUAUACGUAUGUAUAGUAGUGUAUAGCCAAUAAAGAAUUGCAUGAAAUCCUUUGUAUUCCUUAGCACUAGGCAGUUUGCCAUGAAAAAACAAUGGAAACUUUUAUAAAGUACUGUAGUAUAUUUCUACAGUUUGUAGUUGUUAGAAAGGGUUAUAACACUUUCGGUCCCUUAGCUAUAUUCAGAAAUUCUAAUUUAGUCAUUAUGCAUAUGAUUACGCGC
Molecule: long non-coding RNA, 1071 nt
Filed under: Capsicum annuum
Lineage: Eukaryota; Viridiplantae; Streptophyta; Magnoliopsida; Solanales; Solanaceae
Description: long non-coding RNA (CANN_LNC018064)
Source: RNAcentral